This 31-nucleotide non-coding RNA is filed under the name Mus musculus (house mouse). Lineage: Eukaryota; Metazoa; Chordata; Mammalia; Rodentia; Muridae. The record is from RNAcentral.
UGGAACUUGGCUGUGGUUGAUGGACUAAACU